This 501-nucleotide ribosomal RNA is filed under the name uncultured bacterium. RNAcentral describes it as "partial 16S ribosomal RNA". It matches the Rfam family "Bacterial small subunit ribosomal RNA", at positions 29 to 523 of the family's 1533-position model. The record is from RNAcentral.
AAUGAACGCUGGCGGCAUGCCUUACACAUGCAAGUCGAACGGCAGCACGGGUGCUUGCACCUGGUGGCGAGUGGCGAACGGGUGAGUAAUACAUCGGAACGUACCUUAUCGUGGGGGAUAACGCAGCGAAAGUUGCGCUAAUACCGCAUACGCCCUGAGGGGGAAAGCGGGGGACCGUAAGGCCUCGCGCGAUUAGAGCGGCCGAUGUCUGAUUAGCUUGUUGGUGAGGUAAAAGCUCACCAAGGCGAUGAUCAGUAGCUGGUCUGAGAGGACGAUCAGCCACACUGGGACUGAGACACGGCCCAGACUCCUACGGGAGGCAGCAGUGGGGAAUUUUGGACAAUGGGGGCAACCCUGAUCCAGCAAUGCCGCGUGAGUGAAGAAGGCCUUCGGGUUGUAAAGCUCUUUUGUCAGGGAAGAAACAGCAGCUCUAACACAGUCUGCGAAUGACGGUACCUGAAGAAUAAGCACCGGCUAACUACGUGCCAGCCGCCGCGGUAA